Molecule: ribosomal RNA, 380 nt
Filed under: uncultured eukaryote
Lineage: Eukaryota
Description: partial 18S ribosomal RNA
Rfam family: Eukaryotic small subunit ribosomal RNA
Source: RNAcentral
CAAUAGCGUAUAUUAAAGUUGUUGCAGUUAAAAAGCUCGUAGUUGGAUUUGUGGUGUACUUCGGCGGCCCGUCACUAUGUGAUGGAGCUUGCUGAAGUCGCCAUCCUUGGGUGGAUCCUGUGUGGCAUUUAGUUGUCGUGCAGGGGAUGCCCAUCGUUUACUGUGAAAAAAUUAGAGUGUUCAAAGCAGGCUUAUGCCGUUGAAUAUAUUAGCAUGGAAUAAUAAGAUAGGACCUUGGUACUAUUUUGUUGGUUUGCGCACCAAGGUAAUGAUUAAUAGGGACAGUUGGGGGUAUUCGUAUUUCAUUGUCAGAGGUGAAAUUCUUGGAUUUUUGAAAGACGAACUACUGCGAAAGCAUUUACCAAGGAUGUUUUCAUUAA